RNAcentral lists this non-coding RNA (31 nucleotides) under Mus musculus (house mouse). The record is from RNAcentral. Lineage: Eukaryota; Metazoa; Chordata; Mammalia; Rodentia; Muridae.
UAGAAACUGCCUCGGUGCAGAUGCCAUGGUU